UACGAACCGUCCCAACGUUAUUCGGAAUCACUGGGCUUACAGGGUGCGUAGGCUGUUGUUUAAGACGGAUGUGAAAUCCCUCGGCUCAACCGAGGAACUGCAUUCGAUACUGUAUAACUUGAGGAAGAUAGGGGUGAGCGGAACUGAGAGUGGAGCGGUGAAAUGCGUUGAUAUUCUCAGGAACACCGGUGGCGAAAGCGGCUCACUGGAUCUUUUCUGACGCUGAGGCACGAAAGCUAGGGUAGCGAACGGGAUUAGAUACCCCGGUAGUCCUAGCCGUAAACGAUGAGCACUGGAUCGGAGGAUACUUCAUAGUCUUCUGGUCGCAGCGAAAGUGUUAAGUGCUCCGCCUGGGGAGUAUGGUCGCAAGGCUGAA
Molecule: ribosomal RNA, 376 nt
Filed under: uncultured bacterium
Lineage: Bacteria
Description: bacterial SSU rRNA
Rfam family: Bacterial small subunit ribosomal RNA
Source: RNAcentral